CAGCAGCCGCGGUAAUACGGAGGGGGCUAGCGUUGUUCGGAAUUACUGGGCGUAAAGCGCACGUAGGCGGCUUUGUAAGUUAGAGGUGAAAGCCUGGGGCUCAACUCCAGAAUUGCCUUUAAGACUGCAUCGCUUGAACGUCGGAGAGGUGAGUGGAAUUCCGAGUGUAGAGGUGAAAUUCGUAGAUAUUCGGAAGAACACCAGUGGCGAAGGCGGCUCACUGGACGACUGUUGACGCUGAGGUGCGAAAGCGUGGGGAGCAAACAGGAUUAGAUACCCGAGUAGUCCCUGUCUCUUAUAC
This 301-nucleotide ribosomal RNA is filed under the name uncultured bacterium. Its description in RNAcentral is "partial 16S ribosomal RNA". It matches the Rfam family "Bacterial small subunit ribosomal RNA", at positions 509 to 807 of the family's 1533-position model. The record is from RNAcentral.